CUCUUUCAACCAGCAGCUCCGGGUCUGGGAGGUGUCUUUUGAAGACAAAGCUAUUUCUAGCUUUCCAGAUUUCCCAGAGGACUACCGAGAUUAAUUCUACACCAGUGCAAAAGUAGGUGUUCCGGGGUCUCCACAUGCACUCGGCAGAUUGGGCAUAGAGGGUCAGAUUCUGUUCCAAAGUUGAGUUGGGGGUUGAAGAGAGGAAGAGGCGGUUUGAGCUUCUGUUGUUUCUUUUGUGCGUAGGGUGUUGUAUCUGCUCUUUACCGUGUACUCUCCUUCCCGCGUACCUGUCCAGAUCAAUUUAUCUUCAUUAGUCUGUGGUCUAAUUGGUAUGGUAAGGAUCUCGCGCACCACCUGUUCUUGAAAUAGUCUUCGCAGGGUCUGUUAUUUCCAGAUGUUUGCCUCUUGAUCCACCAGUUCAUACACCAUAGUUGGGUCUCCUUCAUUCGCCCGUCCCCCUAAAAUUCCACUUUUGAGCCACCUAUCCUCCC
This is a long non-coding RNA of Syzygium oleosum, 491 nucleotides long. RefSeq lists it as uncharacterized. Lineage: Eukaryota; Viridiplantae; Streptophyta; Magnoliopsida; Myrtales; Myrtaceae. The transcript has 3 exons. The record is from RefSeq and is a predicted model, not a curated record.